Molecule: long non-coding RNA, 650 nt
Organism: Oreochromis aureus
Lineage: Eukaryota; Metazoa; Chordata; Actinopteri; Cichliformes; Cichlidae
Source: Ensembl
AACUGCAAGUUUGUCAUUAAUUUAUUUUCACAGGUCUAGAUGAUCACAUCUGUCUUUGUCAUUUAAAUGAGGUGGACUUGCAAACUUUGCGCUCUUUGGGGUAAAUUGCUGUCCACUACAUAUACACAGAAUCUGCACAGUAUUUCAGAUCUAAAAAGGGAGUAUGUAAUGGACUUGCUGGCUUUAAUGUAAAAAGCCUGUUGUGUAACUUUAAUGAGGCAGUUGGACUAAAACAGUAUUGCUCAUCAAGGUAAACAUCUGAGGAAUAAGGAAAUUGUUACUUGUCCUUUUACUCAGUGUUCUUUUAAUCACACGUUUACUAAAGUUUUACAUCACAUAAGUCAUUUUCACAAUCAUUCUACUUUAAAAGAUUUCAAGACAGAGCUUAUUGUUCUCUGAACUUCCUUGUUUGCUGAACGGCAGGUUGAAGCAGAAUUUGCCCGUCUUACAUCUGUUGACCUGAAAGGGUUCCUUUUGCUGUGCUUGACCAUUAUGGAGAGGUUCGUGGAGCUGUACAAAAUCAAGAGCGGCAUAGAAAGGCUAACUAGGCUCAUAAGAUGCUUCGGAGAUGAUAGCCCUACACAAAGGAAGAGGACAGAGGACCUCAUUUUCUAAAGGAAGAUCCCUCCCACACUUUCAAGACUGUGAAG